UGAGGGGCAUCCCUUCCAUCACUUCACUCCACACUCAAUUUUUGGCUUCCCGCUUUCUUCUCUCUCUUUACAACAGGGAGGGAGUGUGUGUGUUCACGCUCAACCCUUUCAAACACAACACCCCUCUGCUUCGUAGUCGCGGUGCAAAUGUUGAAGAUUUCUACAACCAAUGUGAUCCUGUGACUAAGGCUUCUUGGGAGAUUGAGCAAUCCUUACAAAGUUUAAUAGCCUUUAUCAUUUUGUAGUCCAAAAGUUAAGAGAAAAGGGAAUACAAUUGCAGUUAGAUCUCUAUUUCUCACAAAAAGGAGUCAUAAGUAGUAAGUAAGACAUUUUUUUAAUAUAAUUUAGAAUAAAUUGUUCUCGUAUCUU
Long non-coding RNA from Glycine soja, 369 nucleotides. RefSeq lists it as uncharacterized. The transcript is spliced from 4 exons. NCBI's taxonomy places the organism in Eukaryota, Viridiplantae, Streptophyta, Magnoliopsida, Fabales, Fabaceae. The record is from RefSeq and is a predicted model, not a curated record.